This 233-nucleotide ribosomal RNA is filed under the name uncultured bacterium. RNAcentral describes it as "partial 16S ribosomal RNA". It matches the Rfam family "Bacterial small subunit ribosomal RNA", at positions 100 to 334 of the family's 1533-position model. The record is from RNAcentral.
CGGGACGGGUGGGGAGUGCCUGGGAAACUGCCUGAUGGAGGGGGAUAACUGCUGGAAACGGUAGCUAAUACCGCAUAACGUCGCAAGACCAAAGAGGGGGACCUUCGGGCCUCUUGCCAUCGGAUGUGCCCAGAUGGGAUUAGCUAGUAGGUGGGGUAACGGCUCACCUAGGCGACGAUCCCUAGCUGGUCUGAGAGGAUGACCAGCCACACUGGAACUGAGACACGGUCCAG